UACGUAGGGUGCAAGCGUUGUCCGGAAUUAUUGGGCGUAAAGAGCUCGUAGGCGGUCUGUCGCGUCGGAUGUGAAAAUCCAGGGCCCAACCCUGGACCUGCAUUCGAUACGGGCAGACUAGAGUUCGGUAGGGGAGACUGGAAUUCCUGGUGUAGCGGUGAAAUGCGCAGAUAUCAGGAGGAACACCGGUGGCGAAGGCGGGUCUCUGGGCCGAAACUGACGCUGAGGAGCGAAAGCGUGGGGAGCGAACAGG
RNAcentral lists this ribosomal RNA (253 nucleotides) under uncultured bacterium. RNAcentral describes it as "partial 16S ribosomal RNA". It matches the Rfam family "Bacterial small subunit ribosomal RNA", at positions 524 to 776 of the family's 1533-position model. The record is from RNAcentral.